GUGCUUGCUUCAGCAGCACAUCUACUAAAAUUGGAAUAAUACAGAGAAGAUUAGCAUGGACCCUGUGCAAGGAUGACAUGAAAUUUCAUGUGUGGCAUAUUGGC
Hemicordylus capensis (graceful crag lizard) is the source of this 104-nucleotide small nuclear RNA. NCBI's taxonomy places the organism in Eukaryota, Metazoa, Chordata, Lepidosauria, Squamata, Cordylidae. The record is from RefSeq and is a predicted model, not a curated record.